Molecule: long non-coding RNA, 351 nt
Filed under: Hordeum vulgare
Lineage: Eukaryota; Viridiplantae; Streptophyta; Magnoliopsida; Poales; Poaceae
Description: long non-coding RNA (HVUL_LNC006234)
Source: RNAcentral
AAAGAAGAGCCGAUUGGUAAGCUAAAAAACAUAUAAUUAGAUAUUACGUUUGAGAUCAUAUAUUAUGUGUGGAAUUUAAACUGUUCUGAAAUAAUUGGUUAUCCAAAAAGCAGGCGGGCACAGUGCUAAAAACAGGUUUGCCUAUGGAGAGACAUGCCGGGAAGGUAUACACGCCGGCAUUGUUCAAGCUCUUCCAAGAAGCAUGCUUUAAAUCUGCAUCCUACUUCGUCGAGAACACUUGCGUAGUCAAAGAUACAUACCGCGUGACACACCUUUAUGCCGAGCGUAGAGAAAGUUGGUCCAAGACUUCUUACAACGUCAAAGUGGCUCAACCUGAAAAUUUGUUUCAAU